This 21009-nucleotide long non-coding RNA is filed under the name Citrus sinensis (sweet orange). Its description in RNAcentral is "long non-coding RNA (CSIN_LNC002090)". The record is from RNAcentral. Lineage: Eukaryota; Viridiplantae; Streptophyta; Magnoliopsida; Sapindales; Rutaceae.
AUUAUAACUUGUAGAGAUUAAUUAACAGGAAAAAGUUGCUCAUUCCACUAGCUUAUAAAUUUGGCUUCAUUUUGCCACUUUCAAACUAUAACGUACUUAACUUUGAAUUUGAGGGCAGUUUUGAAGGCUUUUAAAUUUAUAACAAAAACGAAUAUUGGAAAUUUUUAAUAUUGCUUAUUUCAUUUCACAGAUUGAGAAGAUGAUUAAAGUGUCAAUAAUGGCGGAGCUACUACAAGAAUAUACGGUGGCGCUGGCAAGGCUUUUACAGCAAAGGCACCAUCUCCGGAAUCAUCGUUUCACGUCUUCAUCGACUUCCUCAUCAUCCUCUCAAGACUCGUCUUCGUUCCUCGUAUAUUUCUAAUUAUGAUUUAUAAUUCAUUCUUCUAUUUGUAUUCUUAAUUUUAAUUAAUUCUUUUGUCGCUAGCUGGCACUUUGAAGAGUGAGGUAUGUAAUUUGACACAAUUUGAAGUUAAUUUAAAUCUUUUGUAUUCAUCCAUCUCCUAGCAUAAUAUAAUUAUAAAGUCUGCAAUUCCAAUGAAUAAUUUUGAUUGAGGUUUUAUGCAUGGUUCAGUUUCUUAUUCUACUGACAAUGAGGACAACUAAAAGCUAAACAGACAAUAAGAAAGCCUUUGAUCAGAAAAACCAUAACAAAACCUGAAGCUGCUUUCCAGUCAUGAUUCCAAUUUACAAAAUAAUUUUCUUCUUUCUUUGUGGUGGUGGGUUACGUUGUUCUGAAAAUGGGAUCUUGUUGUAUAGUUGUUAUUUUUAUCACCUUGAUCUGGAAUUAUAUCACUAGCCUAGUUAACUGAAUCCAUUGCAUCCAUCACAUGAAAUCUUUGCAAUAAGACAAACAACUUGGGACCUUAUCUGUUUGCUAGCAACUGCCUCGAUCUUGUUUUUUGUGACCUAAACAUUGCACCAAUAUGAAAGAAGGGUACAUUGGCAAAGGAUAGAGACUUUAAAAUAUUUGAAGCCUAUUAUGUAUAUUUUAUAUUCUUUAUUUAUAUCAACUUAAAGCAUGUAAUUGGGAUUGCUUUAAAUUGCUAUAUAAGUGAUUUUUUAGCAAUUUAGCACCUAAAAAAUAUUUCAUAAACACUUUUUAAAAUUAUAUUAUUUGAUUAUCAAAUUACUUUCUUUAACACUCAUCUUUAAACUCUUAAGAUAGUAAAAUCGAACUAAGUUGAGUUUGGAAAUUACUAACUCAAAACAAAGAGAUAGAGACUUAAAAAUUCAAAAAACUUGCACUUCAAAGACUAAUGAUAGAUAUCCUAAAAUUUUAUCUCGAAUUCCAUCCCAAAUAAUGUAACAUGUGAUAUACCAUUCAUUAAGUAGUUGAUGAUUUUUCAUAAAUUUUAAGUGAAUAAUUACACUAUUUUACCAAUCAGUGAAUAAAUGCCAUAUUAUUUAAUAUGAUGGAUUUUUGAGAUAAAAUUUUAGGAUGCAUAAACUACUCCCACUUGAAAAUUUCAAAAUAUUAAAAAUUAAACUAGAGUUGCCGCACACAUGCAUGAGCGAGCUUAAGAUUGAAGACAAUUUGAACCACUUGAUUUCCAAUAAAUGCCCAGAAUAUUUCAUCUGUCAUCGAUUUGAAUCAAUGCUCCUAACAUGCAUUUUUGAAUGUUUGUGCAAGAGUUGAGAGCAAUAAGCCUACUUACGGUACAAAGUUUUUAAAGGAGCAAUAAGCCAAUUUAUUAGAUGUUACAUUGAAUUAUCGUGGCAGAGGGUUAUUACAAAGUUUUUAGUAAUUAAUACGCAUUGGUUUUGAUUAUGAAAUUUUUAUAUGCUGACGUAUAAAGGAACCUUUAAUUUGAAACUUCUUACAAUCAAAAUGAAUGAGAAUCCUUGAUUUGUUAUGAUAUUCAAACUCACGUUUAAUAUGCUGGAAAUUUAUUUCUGUUUCCAGAGAAAAACAGAUUUAUAUAUGAAACUAUUUUAUUAUACUUAAGACUUUUUCCAAAUUAUAAAAUUCACUACUACCAAAAGUGAAAACAAUGAUCGUUCUAACCGAAUAAGGCAGCUUUAUUAAAGAGGGGCUAUUUUUAUGAUGGUUUAUAGACUAUAUAUGGUCGUUUUUUCUUUUUAAUGAUGGUUAUUUUACAAGAUCGCCAUUAAUUUCAUAGAUAAAGUUAUAACCAUCAUAUUUUAGUGAGUAUUACGACUAAAUUUAAAGUCAGUUUUAGAAAACGGUCAUCAUACAUACCUUAUUAAUAACGGUUUUUGCAUUAUAAUAAAAUUCCAUAGAACGGUUUUUGUGGUUGAGUAUUUUCAAUGAUAGUUUUCACAUAAUAACAAUAACCUUUGAUGCUUACUACUAUUACUAACAAUAAUAAUCAACCUCAUGUUUCAAUUAUAAUUUUCUAUUAAAUUUUUUACGAUUGUCAUUUUACAAAUAUAUUUCAUAUACUAGUAGCUACAAUAAUAAAAUUGAGAUGUGUAAUCUACUGCAUCUAACUUCUCACCAAUUCUUCAUUUGCAAAUGAAUUUCCAUACCAUUAGCAACCUGCAUCAUUAUUACAAAGAAUAAAGAUAAAUUAAGAUAUUAAAUUCAUAAUUAGUAGUCAUAAUAAUUAAAUCAUUUUGGUAACAUACAUAGUAAAACAAAACUUUAAAGUACCAAAUCACUAUUAUAUGGACUAACCUGGAAUUUAUAUUAAUCAUGCGUUGUAUAUAGCAGUAAGUUGGUGUAAAUGUAGCCCACUCGCAAUUGACUUCAUCGCUCCUUGAAAUGUAGCCUUUUGUCCUACAAAACUAAAAAUGAGGAGUCUAUCAAUUAUGUUGUUCUAAAAUACAAAAAUAACUAUCACAUUUCAAGCGAACUAUAAAAUGAGGAAAUAAAUUAUUUAAAUUCUGGCAUGGUAGAUUGCAAAUUGUACCCGUUUAUUACUUGGAACAAAAAGGGGGAAUUUAAUAUGAGUAUAAAAGAAAAGAACUAAAGAAUUAAAAAAAAAAACACCUAGAAAUUAAAAUGUUUUGUUUUAGGAGUCAAAACAGUAAUGAAACAGCACUUGAAAAUUUCUAGGUGUUGGUUUAGUUGCCAACAUGCAGUGAAAUAACAUCUGAAACUUUCCAAGUGUUUUACAACUUGUCAAAUUGAUCGAACUCCCUAUCACUCUAUAAUAUUCUACUUGAGAUAUACCCUCUUCUCUAUUUUAGAUAGGUGUAAAUCUACAUUUAAAUGAAUUCUAGCCACAAUAAAAUCAUCUUUGUUAAAUUUACCAAGAAUUUUAUUCACAUAAUGUGAUUGACUAAGAAUAAGUCUGUUAUAAAAAGAAUUUAGAUCUAUUAUAAGUGUAGGCAAAAUAAAACAAUAGAUAAAUUAAUUUUCCUAAGUUAUUUAUUCUUUUGGCAUCCUUUAGUCAAAAUAUAAAUUAAGCAAUUUUUCUAUUCUUUAAAUUGUAUGUUAGAAACAAGAUAGACCAUGAGUAAUAACCUAGACAUAGAUCACAGAAACAAAAAACUAACUAAACAAAAAUCAUUAAUCAUCGUUAGUUGAAGAUAAAAAUCUCUUCUAACAAAUAAAUGCUCAUGUCUAAGAUUCAAAAAAUUAACUCUCCCUUUAAGAUAAACAAUCUCAUAUAUUUAGAGAGUAAUAAUGCAUAUCAAAGAACACAAGAUAAUUAAUAAAGAUCAUAUGCUCAUCAAACAAGCUCUCCCUAAGAGAAAGAAUAAAUAAGCUCAAUAAACAUAUAAAUAAAUUCCCUUUUUAUCAUUGAAAUGAAAUUCUAAUAGAGUUUAAAUAAAUAACUACUCUCCCUCUUUUAGAUGCAAUAAAAACAAAAAAAAUAAAAUACAUACUCUCCCCUUUUUUGAAAAAAGGUGUAAAGCACGAUAGACAAUAUAAACGAAAAAUUGAAAUAAGAGGGAAGAAAGCAAAGAAAUCAUCAAGGGUAAUGAAUAGACCUAAUAUCGUCAAGAAUGUGUUCAAUGCGUUUAACUCAAUUUAAUAAAUUUGAAAUCGUCUCGCUUUCUUUGAUCAUUUAAGUGCUGAAGAGUGGAGCGAAUGGUUUGAAGAUAAAAAAUCAUAGUGACCAAAUCUAGGAGAGCAUUCUUAGUUUGGGUUUCUUCAUCUUGAUCACCAACAAUGCCAAGUGAUUUCAACAUAAGAUAGGUUGGUUUAUUAUAAAAAGGAAAACAAGUAAAAACCUCAUCAUUUUCAACUAAAUUAUAAUCCUGAAUGAUGGAUCAAAGAAGGGAAUGGUAACACAUGACUCUCCCAGUAGAUAUUUGCAUUCCUUACAAUCAUAUUAAAAGCCAAGUUGCCAAAGUUGAAUGGAAUUCUGCCUCCAAUUAGCAACAAAACUUUAGCAAAUAAGGGGUCUACUGUACCAUAAUUUUCAACAUGAUAUCAAUUGCAUGCACCAAUCCAAUGUAAACCUUGAUAUUUAGAAGCAAGCUUUGAAACCAAAAGAUCUUUAGGCCAAGGAGAAAACCUGCCUACGAGUAGAGUAGCAAUAGUAGACAUGUCUUAGGAAUCCAUGUGUUCCCAUAUAUGAGUAUCAUCAAAAUCCUUGCACCGAAUUGACGAUUGAUAAAUGAAGGGGAAAACUCCAAGAUACGUCCUCUCACAUAACUUUUAUGGAAAAUCAAGACCUUUAUGCAUAUAGUGGUUCAAAUAAAGUCAUGCAAUAAAAAUAUGAAUAAUGUGUAAACAAAAUGUUGUAGAACACAACUACGUAGAACCAACACCUAAAACUUUUCUUAAGGAAUCAAAUCUAGAUGUAUCCAAAGCUUUAGUAAAAUUAUCCACAAGCUGAUUUUCUGUUUCAAUGCACUCCAAAGAUAUAUUCUCUAAGUCAUAAAUGAAAUGAUGUCUAAUAUCAAUGUACUUAUUUCUAGAAUGCUGGAUAGGAUUCCUUGAAAUAUUAAUAGCACUUGUGUUAUCACAAGAUACUCUAAGAAUAUCCUGAACAAUACUAUAAUCUUCGAGCAUCUACUUCAACCAAAGCAAUUGAGUACAACAACCACCAGCAGUAAUAUAUUCGGCCUUAGCAGUAGAUAAAGAAAUUGAGUUUUUUUUUCCUUACUGUGCCAAGAUACAAGAUUGUUACCAAGGUAAAAACAACCUCCAUUGGUGCUCUUUCUAUCAUCAGAAUUACCUACCCAUCAGCAUCGCUAUAUCAUACAAGACUUGAAUUAGUGUCUUUAAUAUACAAAUUCCAUCAUUAAUCGUUUCAUUUACAAAACGAAUGACACAUUUAAUCGCAUAUAUAUUAGAUUCCUUUAGAUUUGCUUGGUAUCUACCACAAACACUAACACUAGAACAAAUAUCUGAUCUACUUACAGUUAAAUAACGUAAGCUACUAAUCAUAUUUUUGUGCAAAGUUGGAUCAACACUAGAACCACUACCAUCUUUUGUUAAUCUUAAAUUAAUGCUCAUAGGUGUUCUCAUGCAUUUGGCUGGAUCUAGUUUUGCUUUUUCACCAAAUUUUUAGGAUCUUUACUUUGGAAAAUGAAGAUACCAUUUUCAAGUUGUUUAAUUUGUAAGCUCAAAAAAUAGGUUAACUCCCCAAUCAUGCUCAUUUCAAAUUCGUUCUUCAUUUGAUCAACAAACUCUUGAACAUGCAUCAAAGAUGUAGAACCAAAAAUGAUAUCAUCUACGUAAAUUUGAGCAAUCAUAAUUCUAGGAUGAUUUUUAAUAAAUAAAGUCUUGUUUACUCCUCUCUUGUAGCAUUUAUAAAUCAAGGAUUUGGUUAAUCUUUUCCUAGGAGCUUGUUUUAAUCUUUAUAAAUCCUUUUUCAAUUUGAAAACUAAUUAAGAUGAUAUGGAUCUUCAAAGCCUUUGGGUUAUUCAAUAUAAACUUUUCCAUUCAAAAUUUCAUUCGAGAAUGCACUUUUAACAUCCAUUUGAAAUCAUUUAAAGCAUAUUAAACAAACUACAACAAGUAAUAGCCUAAUAGACUCUAGUUUAGCCACAAGAAUAAAGAUUUAAUCAAAAUCAACACUUUCAAUUUGUGUAUAACCUUGUGCUAUUAACCUAGCCUUAUUUCUCACUACAUUACAAUAUUCAUCUGUUUUAUUCUUAAAAAUACAUUUUGUACCAAUAACAUUAAUGUGAUUUAGUCUAAGAACUAAUGUCCAAACAUCUUUACGCUCAAAUUGUUGAAGUUCUUUUUGCAUAUCUUAAGCCAAAAUUCAUCCAAUAAAGCUUCCUUAUCAUUUUUUGAUUCAAUUAAUGGGAUGAAACAAUUAAAUCAAGCAAGAUUUGUACACAAUUUUCUAGUGACUAUGGAACUUUCUGGACUAUCAACAAUAAGAUCCGAUGGGUGGUUCUUUACAACUCUUGAAGAUGGUCCUUUCUUGACUUGAUCAUGAACAUCAAUUUUUAUCUGAGGUUUUAUAUUUUUUUCCUUAUUAUUUUCUUGAGACAACUGGGAAGAAUUAUCAUUUAUCAAAUCAAUCAUUUGACUUUGAUCUUUGGAGUUCGAUUGAUUGGGUUCUUGUUUUGUAAGAGUUUGGCCAUUUGUUGUAUUACCAUUUAAAUUAAACUUUUCUUUAGUCUCAAUGUACUUGAUAUUUUUUUCUUCAAUGAAAAAUUCUAUAAAAAUCUUUAAAAUCAUCAAUAACAACAUUCACAUAUUCCAUAAUAAUUUGAGUCCUCAUAUUCUAAACACAAAAAGCUUUACUAUUAGUAUAAUAACCAAGAAAAACACCCUCAUAUCUUUUUGAGUCAAACUUACUCAAGUAUUCACGAUCUUUCAAGAUAUAACAUGUAUUACCAAAGAUGUGAAAAUAACUUAGAUUAAGUUUCUUAUCUUUCCACGAUUCAUAAAAAGUUUUCUUAGUGCCUAGAUGCAAGUUCUUAUAGUUAAUGACAUGUAACAUUAAAGAGAGUAGAGGGACCAAAGACUGAUCUUGAUGGUUAAGCUUUUGUAGCUCAUGGUAAUAAGCAAUAAGGAGAUAGACGAGGAGGCAAACAAAGGUCAUAAUGUGAUAAUUGUUCGAAAUCGUGGCAUACAUGAGAAAGCUGUUGGAAACUCCAUAGAAAACCUGCAAAUUGGAAAAAGAAAUCAGGUGGUAAUGCUCGGCCAAUAGGAGAUGCUCGCGCUUUCUAGGCUAGCACCACUAAUCUAGAGCAGUAGUCAUCCUCAGAAUCUCUUUUUUUUACUAAGGAACAAAUGAAGCACCUAUACAAGAUGUUUCAAUCCUAAUCCAUAAGAAAUUCUAGUUCAUCUUGUUCUUUAGCCCAAUCAAGUAAUUUUUUCACCACAGCUUUUACUUGUAUCAAUCUAAACACGUCUUGGAUAUUAGAUUCUGGAGCAACUGCUCAUAUGACUGGGUCCUCGCAGUUGUUUUUUUCUUAUUCACCUUGUGCAAAAAAUCAAAAGGUUAAAAUAAUAGUUGGUUCUUUAGCAACUGUCGUAGGGAAAGGAAAAAUUCUUAUUUCUCCUCUUUUUACUUUAAAAGGUGUUCUUCAUGUCCACAUUUAUCCUAUAAUCUUUUGUCUGUCAGUAAAUUAACUUGUGAUCAUAACUGUCAAAUUAAAUUUUGGUCUUCUCAUUGUAAAUUUCAGGAUUUAACCUUGGGGAAAAUGAUUGGGGAUGCUAGGCAAGACAGUGGCCUCUACUUCUUUAAUAAUGGUUCGAACUUUGGAAGGGAAGAGCGGUAGACUUGUUAUGGUAUUGAGAUUAUGUUAUGGCAUUUGCGAUUAGGACAUCCAAAUUUUUAAUAGUUAAAGAAGUUAUUACCCAAAUUAUUCAUGAAUAAAAAUGCUUCUAUUUUUCGAUGUGAAUUUUGUGAAUUAGCUAAAUAUCAUCGUGCUAUUUUUCCACCACAACCAUACAAAAAAUCAAAACCAUUUACUAUGAUUCACAAUGAUGUAUGCGAUCCUUCUAGAGUGACAACUUUUUUCUGGAAAAUGCUGGUUUAUUACAUUUAUUGUUGAUUAUACUAGAGUUACCUGGUAUUUUUACUAAAAGAUAAAUCGAUGCUGAAAGUGUGUUAAAAUUUUUAUACUAUGGUACAAACAUAAUUUCAGACUUAGAUUAAAAUUUUUUGAAGUGCUAAUGGCUAAGAGUUUUUUAAUCAUGUGUUAGGGAAUUUUUUUUAUAAGAAAGGAAUUAUACAUCAAAGUUUUGUAGCAAUACUCUUUAACAAAAUGGAGUGGCUAAAAGGAAGAAUAAGCAUCUCCUCGAAGUUGUUAGGGCCUUGAGCUUUACAACUAAAGUUCCAAAGUAUCUUUGAGGAUAAGCUGUUUUGACAGCCACAUUUUUUAUAAAUAGAAUGCCUACAAGAGCUUUGGGGUUUAAUACACCAAUAAAUAUUUUCAAUGAAUGUUUUCCAGUUUCAAGGUUAAUAACAAGUAUUCUCUUAAAAUUUUUUAACAAUGUUACUUUUUUUAAUGACCAUGACUCUAGAAGAACAAAACUUGAUCCAAAGGCACAUAAAAGUAUUUUUGUAGGCUAUCUUACAAAUAAAAAAGGUUAUAAAUGCUUUGAUCCAGUUUGAAAAAAAAAAUGUUUAUUUCUAUGGACAUCACUUUCUUUGAAGGACAAUCAUGCUAUUACAAUUUUCAUUUUGAGGGGGAGAAAACACAAUAGUGAAAAUGAUAUGUUUUUAAAUGAUUCUAACUUAGUCAUUGAAUUUGAUUGUAUUAAUAAUGAUGUUUUGCCAGAAGAAAAUGAGAAAGGGAAUACAAAUGAAUUAACUGUUGAAAAUUUUAGACAACUUUCGUUAACGCCAUCACAAAACCAAAAUGCUAGAAUGUCAACGCUGUGUACGAAACAGUAUAAAGGUCCUGUGUAUUCAAAAGAAUACCUAGAACAAAAAAAAGAGAGGAACAUGAUCCUAUAGCAUUACCAAGAAUCUGACCCGAGGUUGGAUAAUGAAAAUCCUAACAAGAAUCUUCUAAGUAAUUAUAAGCUAAAUUCCUCAAAUUUAGAUGAUCUUCUUAUUGCUCUUAGAAUAAAUGUUAGGUCCUGUACUAAUCAUCAUUUGUCCAUCUUUAUUUCUUGUAACAAUGUGGCCCCCUCCUUUUGUGCUUUCAUUUCACGCAUCUCUAGUGUGGUUAUUACAAAUAAUAUACAAGAAGGUCUAAAGGUUCCUGAAUGGAUGAAAGCUUUUUUUGAGAAGAUGAGAGCUCUAGAGAAGAAUACUUAUUAGAAAAAGGUUGAUCUGCGACAAGGAAAAGUUGUUGUUGGUUGUAAAUGGGUAUUCACCAUGAAAUAUAACUUUGAUGGCUCCUUAGAAUGAUACAAGGCUCGACUAGUACCUAAAGGCUAUACACAAACCUAUGGAAUAGAUUAUUCUACAAAUUUCUCUCCAAUGGCGAAAUUAAACAAUGUUCAUGUUCUUUUGUUAGUUUCUGCAAAUCGUGAUUGGUCUCUAAAGUAGUUAGGUGUUAAGAAUGCUUUCCUCAAUGGUGAUCUUGAAGAGGAAGUCUACAUGGAGGCUCCACCUAGGUUUACUAAGAAUUUUGGAUCCAAAGUAUGUAGACUUAAAAGAUCGUUACAUGGUCUUAAACAGUCACCUAGAGCUCGGUUUGAGAGGUUUACAAGUUUGUGAAGAGUCAAGGCUAUAGUCAAGGAUAGGUGAAUCAUACUCCAUUUAUAAAAAUCUCUUCCAAAGACAAGCUCUCAAUUUUGAUCAUUUAUGUAGAUGAUAUAAUUCUAACAAGAGAUGAUACAGAAUAAAUGAGCAUAUUAAAGUAGGGUUUAGCCAAGGAGUAUAAAAUAAACGAUUUAGAGCAAUUGAGAUAUUUCUUGGGAAUGGAAAUUGCGAGAUCAAAGAAAGGUAUAGUGGUGUCACAAAGAAAGUAUACCUUGGAUCUCUUGAAAGAAAAUGGUAUGAGUGGGUGUAAGCCAGCUGAUACUCCAAUAGACAUAAAUAUGAAGCCUGGAGAAGUGAAAGGAGGAGUUCAUAUGGAUGCUGGCAGAUAUCAAAGGUUAGUUGGGAAGUUGAUUUAUGUAUCUUAUACUUGACCUGAUAUAGCUUUUGUUAUGAGUAUGGUAAGUCAGUUUAUGCAUUCUCCUUAGGAGGAACAUCUUGAAGCUGUAUUUCGAAUUCUUUGUUAUUUGAAAGCAACUGAUGCAGAUUGGGUAGGUUUGAUCAAUGAUAGAAGAUCAACAUCUGGAUACUGUACUUUUUUAUGGGGUAAUCUGCUUACUUAGAAGAGCAAAAAGCAAAAGGUUGUUACCAGAAGCGGUGUAGAAAUUGAAUUUCGUUCGAUGGCCCAAGCAGUGUGUGAAGUACUUUAGUUAAAAUGGGUUUUAAAAAAACUCAAACUGUCAUUUAAUCUCCCAAUGACGUUCUAUUGUGAUAACAAAUAGGCUAUCGGUAUAGCUCAUAAUCUGGUGUUACAUGACAGAGCAAAUCAUGCUAAGAUUAAUAGACAUUUUAUAAAAGAGAAGCUUGACGAAGGGAUAAUUUGUACUCCUUUUGUUCCCACUAUGAAACGACUUGUAGAUAUCUUCACUAAGAGCUUAAUUAGACAACCAUUUGAACUUCAAGUUAGCAAGUUGGGCAUGAUUGAUAUCUUUGCGCCAACUUGAAGGGGAGUGUCGAUAAUUUAGGGAUUCUUAGCUAUUUGUUUGCCAUUUGAAUAAAAUAGGAAAAUACCAUAAAUUAGGAAAGUAGAUAAAUUCUGAUUUUAUGAUCUUAAAAUUAGCCCUAGAAUUACUAUCUAGUUUUUCUAUUUAUUUCUAUCGAUCACUGUCUUUGAAUAAGAGAAAGAAUUUUAUAUCUUUGUAUCUUUGUUUACUUUUUUCUUUUUGCUACACUCUUUGUCUCUCUGUUUACUUUUUUUCUUUUUGCUACACUAAGUACUUUUAAUAACAUGUCUAAUCUUCUUAAUUGUUUCUCCACAGAUAUGAUUGAAUGAUUUAUCCUUGUCAUGCAUCAUGUGAGUGAACAAGCUCUUAUAUAUGUUUAUUUGGAUGAAUGAUUGAUCUUUAUUGCCAUACGAUUGAGAAUGAAUGGUUAACUACUUUUUCAUUAUGAUUUAUUGAUUGUAGUUUACCCUCGCUUAUGACUUAUAGCAUUUAAACUUUUAGAGUGUAGCUUUAAAUGCCGGGGCUAAUCUUGUUUCAGCUAACUUAUAUUGAUAACUACUUAAGAGCUGUGAAUAUGAACAAAUUGCCAAUAUAGAGGUACCUUAAUAAGGUUACUUAUCUAGGGGAUUGAGAACUCCUCUCACAUAAAAUCUAUGUGCAGCUCAUAUAUCAAUUACCAGAGCUAGCUAAGUGUAGCUUAGCUAUCAUCGCCAGAGCUGAGUGCAGCUCAAUAUUGAAAUCACCAGAGCUGAGUAUGUUAACAUUAAUAUUUCCAUAACAUUGUUUUUUAUGAUAACAAACUGUAUUAACAAAGUUGGAGUCUUUAAAUGAUCAAUUUUUAGAUCGUAUGAAGUUUUUUAGACAUGAAUAAGAUUCCGGAAAUAAAUGGAUAACCUUUAAUCCUAAGUUGGAAAAUUGUUUUCUAAAGGAAGUUUUAUAGUUUUUAUUCUGGAAGAUAAUGAUGAACCAUUUAUUGGAAAAUAGUUAACCAAUAAAUUCCAGAGAGAAAUUAGUUUCCAAAAGGUAAACUGUUUAACACAAACGACUAGCUGAUAAGUAUCAUAUAUGUCUUUGGAAUUAAAAAGCAAACCGCAAACUCCAAAUAGUGAACUAAUUAUUCAAAAUUCUACAUAACGAUAACUUGCACAAAGUCAAAACGGUGAUCCGAUAAUAGUAAACGAGGUCUGAUUAUGCUUAGAAAGUCAACAAUGACUAGUUUUCUGCUUCAACUGUGAAAAGACUCAAUCAAAUUCAAAUCAUAAUGAUUCUACAAUCAUCAUUGAGCUUGUUAUUGCGCAACCAAUCUCUCUUGUGCUUAAAAUUUGUUAGUUUUUCAUUAAAUCACAUUCUGAGCUUUUGUUUGUAAAUAAAUAUAUUGUGUGAACAAAAAUUUGUGUAAUUUUAAUUUUAAACAUCAAAUUGAGUAUUUGAAAGUGUGGGAAACAUUUCGGUUAAAAGGUUUGGGAUAAUAUUUGAUUGUAAAAGUUGAUUGACAUCCUAGAACUCAAUUGUAAAGAUUUUGAAGCCUUAUAGUGUAAUGCUUGAUUAGUGGAAUCAUCAAGCUCGAUGAGCUUGGAGGUAUGGACGUAGGUGAGUUUGUUAUUUCCUUUUUCCCUUACCUCAAUUGUGAAAAUCUCGUGUUCGAUUCUCUUUCCCUUACCUCUUCAUAUUUUGAUUGUUAUGAUUUAUUUGUUAUUUGUAUAAUUUUAUUUGAUAUUUGUAUUGAGUUUUGUUUUGAUUUUUCUAUAAUUUUUAGAAACAAAAUUCACCCCCUCUUAGGUUGCUUAGCCAGUAUUUCAUUCGGUAUUAGAGCAAGGUUCUCUUAUUUGGAUUUAAUCGUCUAGAAUAAAAGAUCCAUGACAACUCAAAAUGAUUCCACCUUUAGGGAAGGUCAGUCCGCUACUAGACCACCAUUCUUUGAUGGAAAUGACUACGCUUAUUAGAAAAUGAGGAUGAUAAUUUACUCGUAAGCACUAGAUUAUGAAAUUUGGGAAGUUGCUUGUGAUGGUCCAUUCAUGUCUAUAACUAAAAAUGAAGUAGGGGAAGAUAUUCCAAAACCUUCACGUAAAUGAAAUGAUUUGGAAAAAAAGAAAAGCUUCUCUUAAUUCCAAAGUCAUGAAUGCUUUAUUUUGUGCUUUAGAUAAAAAGGAAUUUAAUAGAGUUUUAGGUUGCUCUAAUGCUUAUGAAAUUUGGAGGAAGUUAGAAGUUGUUUAUGAAGGAAUAAACCAAGUUAAAGAGUAUAAAAUUAGUAGAUACACUAGGCAAUAUGAAUUAUUCUAAAUACAAAAAAAAUGAGAGCGUACAUUCAAUGUAUACUAGAUUUAUCGUAAACAUUCUAGGAGCUCUAUGAAAGACCUUUUUCAAAUAGUGAGAAAGUAAAAAAAAUCAUUAAGUCCUUGCCAAAAGAAUGGAGACCGAAAAGAACUACCAUUAAGGAAGCCAGGGAUUUAGAUACUUUAACUAUUGAUCAUUUAAUUGGCUCACUUAUUUCUUAUAAAGAAGAUUUGGCAGCUGAAAGAGGUGACAAAGAUAAAAAGAAGACAAACAUUGUCCUCAAAGCUUCAAGAUCGGAAAGCGAUAAAGAAAGCGAAAUUGAAGAUGAAGAUAUGGCUAUGAUAGCUAGAAAAUUCAGGAAGUUAUUUGCAUAAUUUUAUUUGAUAUUUGUAUUGAGUUUUGUUUUAAUUUCUCCAUAAUUUUUAGAAACCCAAUUCACCAGAGCUAGUUGAGUGCAACUGCUAUCAUCGCCAGAGCUAGCUGAGUAUAGCUCAACUAUCAUCACUACGGCUAUGUAUUACUCAUAUACGAAAUGAACAAACCUGAGAAAGAGCUGGGCUGCAAAAUCUAGAAUACUUAAGAAGUUCGUUAGUGAUCAAAGGAGUGAUUUAACAGUAAGUUUCCACGAGUCCCUCAUAUAAAACUUUUUCUUUGAGUUUCUUGUGCUUCAGUUCUUUCACCACAAGAAACUAAGGCAUCUUGCACGAGGGGGAAAUAUAGGUGCUAACAUAGGCCAAUAACUCAAUGACACGUGGUAAGAAAAAUCAUUCAAGUGAAGUCAACUUGUUUUGACCAAUUGGCAGUAUAGCUCACAGGAGCUUAAGAGAUAAGCUCCCAAAAGGAAAGGCAGCCUUGAAAUUACAUGCAAUAUCAAAAGGUAUUAUCGAAACCUAGAGUUUUGGUGGUUAAAGGUCGCACAUAAACAAUGCAGGCCAUUGAUAAAAAAUAUCUUCCUUUUAGGUAGGACUAAAAAGCCAAUAGGAAUAAGAAUUCUUUAAGAAAAAUAAUAGAAGGAGACCACGUCAGAUGUCCUUUGCUAUCUCUAGAAAGCAAUAGAACCAUACGCCACAGUAUAAAUAUUGGAGGCAAAAGGCAAGCUCGAGGUUUCCUUGCCUCCCAAGCUCAUGGAUGUCACAAGGCAAAUUACUCUAAUAGCCUCACCGUAGGCAACCUCGUCAUUAAAUAAGUGCCACAUGUCUAAAAUUAUUGUAAUACACUUAGGAACACUCCUAUAUAAGCUUCACAUGUUCACAUUUGAGUGGGCUCUCUCUAUUGCUAGCUCUAUCUCUCUCUUUUUGUUCUAUGCAACCCUAGGCCCUUUUUGAAGAUAUGAUUUUUUGAAAGGCUGCUUCAAUUUCUUCUCCCUCUAUUUUUAUACCUUCAUAAAAGAUCUUGAGCACCUCAUCUUUCAAAUAACUCUUCAAUUAUUCUUCUUUUAGAAAACUCUCUAACCUCCACAGACCUAUAUUUCCUUCAUUUUAAUAUCCACCAUAAACAACCUAUAUUAAGGUUUUGUUGAUAUUGUGGAGCAAAUCAUGUAAUACUUCAUUUAUAGAGUAGAUUGGAGAUGAGCUACUCCCAUGGAUAUAGGCCAAAGUGUUAAAUCACAUAAAACUUUUAAUUCUCUUUUUUUUUUAUGUUAUUUUUUGCUUAUUAUGAUAGUUUUGAAACCUAGAUCAUAUUUUGUAUAUGAGUGCACAUGAGUUAUCUUACAAGCUUUAUAAAGUUAAUCGAAUAAGCUUUUUAGAGCUAUCCUCGAAGCUCCCUUAAACUUCCCAUAUCAACUCUCUCAGCUAAAUCCCAUGAGCUCCAUAGAGCUCACCUCACAAAACACGAUAGUUCACCUUCCAAAUCAGCUCAGUUUACCUUCUUAAGUCACCGGAACUUGCCUCCCAAAUCACCUCAGCUAUACGUGUUUCCCGAAACAACAUAAAUACAUACUAGACCUUUACUAGCCAUUCUCCCUCUAAAAAUAUAAAUUUUAUUCGUUUUAAUUGGAAUUGACCUAGAUUUAGUGGAACGAACAACUUAAUGAUUCGAAUCAAAUCUUUGUGUUAAAUCUAAUAGAAACCUCACUUGUUCACUACCAUGACUUAAUUUACUUUAAAAAGCUCGUUGAUAUCUACAUGAUAGCAAAGAGAUUUCAAAAUCUAUUCUUAUGAAACACAUGCUAGUCAUGUAAUAAUUAUGAUUUGAGCUAUUUUCAUUUGGAUAGAUCUUAUGAAAAGUACUACUUGUUUACUCUAAGUACUUAUGAUAACAUGUCUAAUCUUUUUAAUUGUUGCUCCAUGGAUGUGUUUGAAUGAUUUACCCUUGUCAUGCAUUAUGUGAGUGAACAAGAUCUUAGAUAUGUUAUUUGGAUGUAUAAUUGAUCUUUGUAGCCAUAUGGUUAAGAAUGAAUGGCUGAUUCUUUUUUUUAUUAUGAUUUAGUGAUUGUAAUUUAACUUCACUUAUAACUCAUCGGGUUUAAACUCUUAGAGUGUAGCUCUAGAUACUGGGGCUAAUCUUCUUUUAACUGACUUAUAUUGAUAACUACUCAAGAGUUGUGAAUAUGAACAAACUGCCAAUAUAGAGGUACCUUAGUAAGUUUACCUACCUAGGGGAUUGAGACCUUCUCUCCCCUAAAAUCUAUGUAUAUCACCAUGAGUUAUCGCCAUGUUUCAUAGCCACGUGCAGCUUAGAUAUCAAUCGCCAGAGCUAGAUAAGUGUAGCUUUACUAUCAUCAUCGGAGCAAAGUACAACUCAAUAUUGAAAUCACCAGAGUUGAGAGCUCAAGUACUGAAACUGUCAGAGCUAGCUAAAUGCAGCUCAGCUAUCAGGCACCAGAGCUGAGUAUAGCUUAGUAUUAAAUGGCCAGAGUUAAAUAUUGCUCAAGGAUUGAAAUCGACAGAACUAGCUAAGUGCAACUCAACUAUCAAUCACCAAAUAUGAGUAUAGCUUAUUUAUCAAUCGCCAGAGCUAGCUGAAUGCAGCUCAGUUAUCAUCGCAGAGCUGAGUAUGGCCUAAGAAUUGCAAUCACUAGAGCUAGCUAAGUGUAGCUUAACCACCAUCACUAGAGUUGACUAUUGCUCAUAUACAAAAUGACCAAACCUAAGAGAGAGCUCAGUUGCACAAUUUAGAAUAUCCAAAAAGCGCACUAGUGAUUAAAGGAGCGAUUGAACAACAAGUUGCCACGUGUCCCUCAUGCAAAAUUUUCUCUUUAGAUUUCUUAUGCUCAAUUCUUUCACCAUAAGAAACCAAGGGGAUCUUAUUUAACGGGAAAUCUGGGUGCUAACAUGGACUAAUAACUCAAUGACAUGUGGCAAGGAAUGAUAAUUAAAUGAAGUUAGCUUGUUUGACGAAAGGACAAUAUAGCUCACAGGAGCUUAUGAGAUAAGCUCCCAAAAAAAAAAAGAAGGUAAUUUUGGGAUUACAUGGAACAUCAAAGGGCAUUAUUGAACCCAGAUUUUUGGCUGUUAGGGGCCGCACAUGAACAAUGAAUGCUAUCAUGUAAGAAAUAAAAAAUAUAUUCUUUUUGACUAAGAGUAAGGAGCCAAUAAGAAUAAAAAUUCUUUGAGCAAAACAAUAGGGGACCAUGUCAGUUGUCUUUUACUAUCCUCCAAAAAGCAAGAGAACCACAAGCUGGAAAAGGUACCACGUGUACAAUAUUAGAGGCAAAAGGGUGGCAAGAGAUUUCCUUACUUCCCAAGCUCAUGGAUGUCACCAUCAAAGGAUCACAAGACAAAUUACCCGAAUAGUCUUACAUUAGGGAAGCUAGCCAUUAAGUGAGCACCACAUGUCUAAAGUUAUCAAAAUACCCUAAGGAACACUCUUAUAUAAGCUCUACAUAUUCAAUCUUAAGGGGGCUCUUUCCAUCACUAGCUCUAUCCUUCUCCUUUUGCUUUAACCAACCCUGGGCAUUUUUUUCAAAAUCUAAAUUCUUGAAAGGCUGCUUCAUCUUUUUCACCCUCCAUUUUUAUACCUCCAUUACAUAUUUUCGCCAUCUCAUCUCUCAAAAAAGCUCCUCCAUUAUUCUUUUAUUGUAAAACUCUCUAAUCUCAACGGACCUACAUUUCCCUCAUAUUUUUUUUUUCACUAAACACAACUUUUAUUAAUGUUUUGUUGAUAUUGUCGAGCAAAUAAUGUAAUAUUUCAUUUAUAUAGUGGAUUGGAGAUGAGCUAUUCUCGUGGAUGUAGGCCAAACAACUGAACCGUAUAAAAUAUUUGUGUUCUUUUUUGUUUAUGCUCAUUUUCUACUUAUUAUGAUGGUUUUCAUACCUAGAUCAUAUUUCAUAUUUAAGUUCACAUGAGUUAUCUUACAAGCUCUAUGGAGUAAAAUAGAUAAGCUUUUUAGAGAUAUCCUUGAAGCUUUCUUGAGCUUCCCACAUCAAUUCUCUAAGCUAAAUCCCAUGAGCUUACUUCACAAAACACAAUAGUUGACCUUCCUAAAUCAUCGCAGCUCACCUCCCAAAUCACCUCAGCCAUACCUCAUAUGCCAAAUAGCAAAAAUACAGACUAAACCUUAUUAUCUUUUGAGUGGAUAUUAUAACAGAUGUAGCCCUUUUUUUUUAUUAAAGAACAUCCAAAGCAUACAUAGCUGGCCACUCGAGGAUUCAAUUUAUUGGGGUGUAUAGCUUGUUGAUGAACAUAACAAACACAACCAAAUACUCGCAAAUGAGAAAUUUUUGGCUUCUGAAUUUUUAGGACUUCACUAAAGGAAAAUAGGCAAUAGAUGAUAGCAAAUAAUUGUCAUAAAAUGGAGUGCAUAAAAAAUAGUUUUUUAGUCAUCUAUGUCACUGUCAUUAAUUUAUGACAAAAAAUUGUCCGUCAUGAAUUCAUGAUGGUUUUUUGUUGUCAUAUAUCCAUCACACAAUAUUUUAAUUGGAAAAAAUAAUUUAAAUUCAAAUUCAAAUUAAUUUAAAUUUUCGUACCAUUUUUUAAAAUUUUGGCGGGAAAUUCUAUCACCAUUUGUAAAUUUAUUAUUGAAUUUUGUUGGGAAAUUAUUUAUGACAAAAUUUAUGAUGGAUAUUUCCCAUCAGAAAUUAAUAUUUUUAAAAAAUUAUAUUAUUAUUAGAAUAAUUUGUUGAUAAAUUCAUGUUUAUUAAUAAAACAAAUAUCAUAAAAAUAAAACCAGAAAACAAUUAAUAUUACUCAACAUUCUUUCAAUCCAACAACUUAAUUUCAAAAGAAAUACAUAAAAAGUCCAAUGUGAUACAUAGUAAAACAUCUCAAAUUUAAAAACAUCUCAAAAUAUAAAAUGACUAUUAAAUUCCAAUGCUUCUACAACAAAAGCAACUAAAAUUCCAGCCACCAAGCCCAAUUUCUCAACAAAACUUUUAAAGAUUAAUGCAAGACUUCCAGGGUUCCAACACUCUUAACUCCAGCCACCAAGCCAAGUUUCUUAACACUCUAAUUCCAGCCACGUACCCAACAAUACUCCAACUCAUAUCCAGCAACCCACCAUCUUCCAAUAGCACUCUAAUUCUAGGCACAUACCCAGCAACAAUCCAAUUGAAACCCAACAAACCAGUUUAAGUAAAUAAGUCAAAAUAUUCAAUGUUAUCAAAUGCAUAACAUCUACACUAGAAUCCUUAACAGCAACCAUUAUAAUUUGAUACUACAAAUUCAAUUUGUAACAACUAAUAUUUAUAGUUUCAAACUCAAACUCAUGCAAUGAGGAUGUCAAAAAAAUAGUUAGCCCACUCCAAACGAACCUCAUCUAAUUCAUUCUGAGUGUAUGCUUUCGUUCCAUUAAACUAUUAAUCGUAAGAAUUAAUAUUGUCAAACUUCAAAAAUAAUGACACAUCAUCAACUUACAUUCUUUGAUAACGAACUAACAUUUGCUAUUAUUUCCUUUAUGUACCUUAAUACAUAAUAGCUACACUGUUAAUUUUGCAAUAUUUUGUUUCGAAGCCCUGUUCAUGAAGAAAAAAAAGAAAAAUCUUCUUGCAAAACACAUUCAUUUUAGUUAAGGUAUGUAAUCAGUAAGCUAUAAAGUUUUUUUUUUUUUUUUACCUUCACAAUUCUCAUCUUAGAAUUAUAAUUCUAUUUUUCCUUACCAUCCUCUGAUGUGAAGAAUGCCAUGGCGCUGUAUGAAAAACUAAAUUGUUGUCUCGUAAUCAUAUUGAAGAAACUUAAACUAUCAAUGGCAGGAAAUGGAUUGGCAUACAUACAUUUUUAGGACUGGACUGCAUAGGAUCCACAUAAAACACUUCUUUUUUCACCACAUUAAACACAACUAAUACCUAGUGGUAGAUACAAAAGGAGAAGGCAAAAAAAAAAAAAAAAGGUCAAAGGCAAAACCAUGAAUUAAGAAACAACUGUAAAAGCUAUAUGAAUUCAGAAGUAGUUGUAAAAGUUUUAGAUGAAAAUUAAAACUUCUGAAGGAUUGUAUAGCAUGAGAAUGAGUUGUCUGUUUUUGGCCUUUUUCGAGUGGUCUUGAAUAUGCUUAACUCUCUUUGAGUGAAAUCUUUUUGCAGUGUUUGGAUUUGUUGGGCAAACCAAACUUUGACACAUGAAUCCGAAUGGUUGUAUUUCUUUUCUGGUUAGCAGAGUGGUAGAAUCCAACAUCCUUAACAAAAAAUCAGUGCAUCAAUAAAAAAUUAUACCAAAUUGGUAUUAAAUAGUGUAAAAGAAAAUCAUAAAACAACUUACGCCAUAUGUACUUGAAUAGCAUUCACUCCUAGCGUUUGCAUUGACAACAGAUCAUUGCAAUCUUUCUUCCCAAUAUAAGCACAAGCAUCUCUUUAGAAUACAUUAUCAUCAAUAAUAUAUGUCAGAACACUAUCAUUUUCACCAAGUAAAUAUUUUUGACACAACUUCCCAAAUAAUUGCAACAUCAAAUGACUAUUCUGGUGCUUGAGUUUUGUACUCCUUAUGUUUCUCAUAGGCUGCACUACAAUGUUUUUGGCUUUAUUCUUCUUCAAAAGUUCCUUUUUUGGUUGGCUGUCGGGAUGAAUCUCGCGUAUACUAUCAGCAUAGUCAAACUCCAAUUGUUUUUUACUGUCUCCAACUCUUUUCCUUUGAUCAUUUGCAUAAUCCUUUGGAAUUGAAGGAUUUAGUCUUGGACUUUUCCUCAAAAUGGUUGUAGUAGCGUUUCUAAGCGACUUGCCCAAAUUAUCUAGCUCCUGUGAAUAUUAAUUAUAUGAACUAGUAAGUUUAUUAAACUAGAUUGAAUAGUAUAUACACAAGGAAGUAAGCAUAUUAAACCAAGAAAAAUACAGCUAAUUUUAUAAAUAAACUAACUUUCUGUGCAUCUUCUUCACUAUCAUUAUCGAAAUCAUCAUUUUGGCUGACUUUAUCGAAAUGGCAGAAGACUUCAUUGAAAUGGCAGCAAUAGUGUUUUUUGGUGUCUCUUCUCUCUUUUAAUCUUCUCCCCAUUUUCUCAAUGUUGAUGCUUUAGGUUGUUCUUCCUUUUGACUAGACUUUCAUUUCCUCUUCUUCUCAGCUGACUUGCCCAAAUGAUCCAGCUCAUGUCGGCAUUAUCAGUAAAAGGUAAGUAAAUUAAAAUGUAUUAAGUGGGAGAUAUACAAGGAAAAGUAUCUUAAACCAAGAAAAAAUUAGUUAAUUUUAUAAAUAAAAUAACCUGAUGUACAUCACCCUCACUGUCAUUAUCAUUGACUUUAUUAUAUGGGAAAGUGGAACUUCCUACAUCUGAAUGGCGAGGUGUCCUCUUUAAUUCUCUAAAAAUUUCUUACAACUAAUCAUCAACUGAUUUUUUCAAAGUUCCAGGUCCCCCUCUCUCUCACUUCAGAUAGGUCCACGAAUGGUAUGAAAGUACAUAGAAGCAUAUAUAAAUUUGCCCAGCCAUUGCAUAUGAUCAAUUCGAGAAAGCUUUCCCAAUACUUGUGCAAGUAAGUCAUUUCUUGCAUCCGAAGUCAAAGAGUCUUUUUAGUCCUCCUUUAGCUUUUCCUAACACCCCACUAUAAAGAAACUAAUAUAAUUAAAUAAGAAUAAAUCUAAAAUAAUAACAAUUUUUGUUCUAGUUAAACUUGAUUACCAAUUUCUUAUUGACUUGUUAAGUGUCAAGGUCGUAUUCUCCAUCCUUUAGCAUCCGAGCUCUCUUUCAUAGCUCACUCCUAUCAAUUAAGUCUUUAGAAAGACUCAAUUCUGCACUGGCUACUUCGAUAAAGAAAUUAAAUUGGUUAACUAGAAAAAAAUUUAAUAGUUAAAAAUACCCUUUAUAUCGAUAUAUAUACACUUACAAUUUCUUUCAUUAAUCCUACAUAUCCUUUUCGACUAAGGUGGUGAUAAUACAUGUUCAAAGCUCA